UCAACCCGGUACGGAAUUAGACCCAGCCCGUUGUAGGCUAGAAAAUAGUUCUUUGAAAUUUUGAAGUGCCCUAUUUCAAGUCAUUUUUAAUGUGACUGGUUACAUUUUAAGUGUAUUUAUUGUAACAGUGUACAUUUAGUGUCAUUUCUGAUGACUUUAAAAGUUGUUUUUUGUGUAUUCUGCAGGAUCUCAUUUCUUGGUGGAAGGAUUCGAGAAGUACUACACGCCAGCAUACAUGACAUUUGAAACUUUGAUAAUUUGACAGUGACUUAACAAAUUAAGAAAUAUUGUGAAAUCUAGAUGGCUAACAUAGGACAUUUCGGGCUUCGACUAACUUGUCUAGUGUUGAUGUUUAAAGUUAUGAAAUACAGAAUUCUGCUGAGUUUAAUAGAAGUCCAUAAUGAAGCUUUAAAUGUGACAGAUUUACUAUAGAUUAAAGAAGGGCGAAAAUGGACAAGGCCGUGUCCUAAAUAAGAAAUAUGAAAAAUGGGAACUGGUUGAUGGAUAUGGAUGAAACUUUGCAUCAGUGUUGUGUUUAUGAAUAGAAAUCAGGAAAAUAAAGGAUAACUGACAGACCAUGCAGUUACCAAAGCCGGGGUGACCUUACCUUAUAUACUGGUUAAGAUCUAUGGAAGAACUCCUUCAGCUCAGUUUGGCAGCAGAUUUGUCAGGACAAGAUGAGAAGGAUCUCAUUUCUUGGUGGAAGGAUUCGAGAAGUACUACACGCCAGCAUACAUGACAUUUGAAACUUUGAUAAUUUGACAGUGACUUAACAAAUUAAGAAAUAUUGUGAAAUCUAGAUGGCUAACAUAGGACAUUUCGGGCUUCGACUAACUUGUCUAGUGUUGAUGUUUAAAGUUAUGAAAUACAGAAUUCUGCUGAGUUUAAUAGAAGUCCAUAAUGAAGCUUUAAAUGUGACAGAUUUACUAUAGAUUAAAGAAGGGCGAAAAUGGACAAGGCCGUG
Ruditapes philippinarum (Manila clam) is the source of this 964-nucleotide long non-coding RNA. RefSeq lists it as uncharacterized. NCBI's taxonomy places the organism in Eukaryota, Metazoa, Mollusca, Bivalvia, Venerida, Veneridae. The transcript is spliced from 3 exons. The record is from RefSeq and is a predicted model, not a curated record.